RNAcentral lists this long non-coding RNA (4780 nucleotides) under Sus scrofa (pig). Its description in RNAcentral is "lncRNA (ENSSSCG00000060687.1)". The record is from RNAcentral. Lineage: Eukaryota; Metazoa; Chordata; Mammalia; Artiodactyla; Suidae.
CGCCUUGAGUGAGCAGGAAUCAAAGGAAAUAAUAUUGAUGAAAGAAACAGUAUUUAUGAAGCGUUUUAGAAAGUAACCUAUCUUUGAGGAUGCUUCUGCUAUAAUUGAGCGUUUGUGUAUUAACCUGAAGAACGAAGCCGCAAAUGUGCGCAUCAGUAGGAGUUGCCGUCAAGACCUCAAGCCCUUUAUUCUUAAAAGGGUUUUUAUGAAGUAAAAUUAUUCCUGGAUGAGAUAGAAUCUUAGCCAGUGCAGGAGAAAGAAAACACCCCAGUUUAGUAUCUUAUACUCCUUUUUGCACCUGUAAGACUGACAAUGGUAUUGAAUAAUAACGUGACAAAUUUCCAUUUGCUGAUUGAUGGUCUGAGCCAGCAGUGGGAUUUGGGAAAAAAAAAUAAAUAAGAGGUUAUCUAUUUUAGGGACCAGUUUCAGGUUUUCUACAGCAUGCACACUUGUUGCUACCCUCAUUCUAUCAUCAAUAUACUUGCCUUAUGAAUGUGAUUGCAGCUGUGAACAUCCUCUACCAUAAUGGUUGCUAAGGAGAAUUAAGUCCUUCUGUUUUAACAUUUAAAAUAUCUCAAUGCACAUGACAUAAUUAAACACUAAUAAUACCAUGCCUGCAUAGCUGAUAUUAACCUCUAUUGCAUGCUCCUAGAUUCUAGAACUUAUCGGGCAUGUGGUAUACUAAAGCAAUACCCAUUUGACAAGGACAUUUUGCUUCUUCCAGACACCAGAAGAAGUAGCCAUCAAGAAGUGGCCAUCAAUUAUUUGAAAAGAGACACAGAGACACCUCUGGCUGCCUAGCGUUCUUCUUGUCUUGACCCAAUUUAGGAGAAAACUCCCAAGUGGGACUUUAUCUUACAAAUGGAACUGCAGUCAAGAUGGAUCAAUAAUAUGGUUUGGCUCUGCAAAGCCAUCUGUGUGCUCUUUUAGGCUUUAGACAAGCCACACAUUGGAAAGUGACACUUUUUUUAUGUAGUUCAAAUGUAUUACCAUGACACUUAACAUUAAUAUCGUAUCUGUUAAAAGAAUGUGUAGUAAACUCAAGUUAUAAUAAAAUGAGCAGUUCAAGUGGGAAGCGGUUCUAAAAUGUAUGAUCUGAGGCUUUCCAUUUUUGUCUUCAGUUUACUAAAUUUAUUUAGAAAUAAUUGGAAUGCAAAAUUGUUGAAAAUGACUUUAUACAAUUAAAGUGGGAGUAAAGAAACAAAAUAAUCAUCUAUCAGCAAUUCCGACUGCGCAUUAAAUCUGGGGCUGACCAGCCUCGGUUAACUGUGGAAUUCAGGAAAAAAACCAGCUUGCUUUGUUGCAAGCCAGGCUAGUGGGAACACUUGUGCAUUUGAAUAAUUACGGGAGUUGCAGGAAACUUUGACAUGUUUGUAGAAAAAUAAAACCAAACAACAGUGUUCAUCACUAACGAUAGAUCAGCAGUCAUUUUAUUAAUCUCUUCCCUUUGUGCAUGCACCGUUUCUCUCUUAUUAAGGUUUCAUCUGUUCUCAUUUUUCUCCAUUCAAAUAAUCAAUUAAAGUUCAGACAACUAUUCCUCCGAGUUUUUUCCUUCUGUCUCUGGUCUUCUUGCAUAUCUCCUUGAGAACACUAUAACCUUAACAGUGUACCUAAAAGCACUGGUGAUGAAAGUAAUGUCUUUGCUCUGGCUUUAUUUAUUUAAUAUUACUUUUAGCUUGUAAAACUGUUUUUACCUUUUAUAACUCAAUAGACCCUGUAUACCAGCAUUAAAAGAAAUAGAUAUAAUUUCCUUUCUGUAAGUAUAAUCGAUCUGGGGGAAUAGACUGUAACAACAGAGAGCUGAAUGUUCCUUUUUUGGGGGGAUGCUUCUCUAAAUCUCUAUCAAAAGGGUCUUCAUUUAAUUAGCUCUUUACCCUUGUUUCUCUCUCUGGAUGCUACAAACGCUCUUCCUUGCUCUUCCUAUAAACAUUUGCCAAGCAUAUCAACUUAGCUUUUCAAUUACCUGAUAUCUUGCAGUGUUCCUGGCUAUAACACUGAGAACCACCUUCUGCAGGCUUGGUGCCACGUGGGAGACCUACUUCAGGUUAUAUUUACUGGUAAUUAACUCCACAGGACUGAUUCACUUUUAAUUUUGAAGCAGCAAUGAGGUGUCUAAAAAUGCCUUACUUGGGCAAUAGCUGCGAGUUGGAGUUACUGCUGUAACAAAUUAAGUUAAUGAAGAUUGGGUUCCUAUUUAAAUGAAACUACCUAUUAUCCACUCAGGAAUGAAAAAAUCCUAACUGCUGUUGUGGGCUGCCCUACUUUGGCUUUUCUACUGUUUUUCUUUAGGUGUAUGCCUGUUAAGACAUAUAGCACCCUCUCCCCGUGGGACUUGAAUGGCUAAAUGGUGGGCUGUAAUAAGCGUGACUCAUCUUAGCACUUCCCUGCUGCCAAAAUGAAGUUAUGUGCGUAAACAAGGAUGCUGUUUUGUACUGAGACACCUGCACGUGGUUUUUGUUUUAAAGCCUGUGGGGUUUCACUCUCUGAUAGAGAAAGCCCUUGAAAAGAUUUGCUCACCAAGGACCUUUGGUCUGCCAUGGCGUCUGGGUUCAGUGCAACCCUACUCUUCUGAAGACAAACACAUCGGCCGAUGUCAUCGUCAUGGGGGACCCUCAUUCCAUCCUCCCAGGGACUUGGACGUGGCUUACCUGGCUCUUUGGCAGUCCUAGGAGCUGACUUGACAAAGGGCAUCAGUGACACAUACUUAAAUUCAAGAGUGUUGAGAAAACCUGGAGGUGUCCCUUGCUAUCAGAGGGCUGCCCUUAAUGUUUGUGGGGUGUGGGGCAAGGACGCCUCUCUAGAUGGAAGCUCGUGGUCUACAGGAACAAGGUCCGGGGUGGACCCUUUUUGCCUUUCAGCUCGCACUCAGUACCCUGAGGGGCCGCCACGCGCGUGCCUGGACUCAGCCCACAGGUCCAAGCUCUGCCCACGUCCACUUCUUAACGCACCACCUUGUCUGCCUCCAGGAUCUAGCAGUCCACAGGCAGGGGUAGAGCAUGUCCUGGAAGUGACCUUGGGCCAUUUAGGUAGAGCAUGUCCUGGAAGUGACCUUGGGCCAUUUAGGCAGGCCAUUCUGGGCAUCCGGUACCACGGCCUUGGAAGGAGCCGUGAGCUCUGGGUGUGCACAUUUCCUUGGGACCCCCUUCUGUGAGGAGGGGGGCGGCCAGAGGAAGGUGGGAGCAGCCCCUUUAAAGCACAGAGACCCAGGUGGGGACCCCAGUAUCUUGAGCCUAUAGGCUGUGCUGCCUUCACAUGCAUCCUGUUCCCUAGCUCCUCACACCUCAAGGGAGUCCUGAAACAGGUGCCACGUAUCGGGUUUCCUCAGGUACGUGACCACAUCAGGCCUGAUGCUGUAGAUGGGGAGGUUGGUGGGUUGGGGUGGGAAGCGUGUACGUGAAACGAGGGAGGUGGGAUGUCGAAGGCUAUGGAAGGGGAAUGAUGGGACAGGGGAAGUACUGCAUGGUUCUCUUGCAAAGUUUCAUGUGUAUCUUUUACACAAACUUUUUAUAAUGAAAAGUUAAAAAAAAGUGAAGCUAAACGGGUCAGUGGGCAGUUGGGGGAGGGAAGAAAGAAGGAAGCAAGGAAGAGAAAAAAAUGAAAGAAAGAAAAGUCAUGUGCCUGACAUCGUGUAGCAACUUAAAUGCAGGAGCUGAGACUCGAAGCUCUGUCUGACUCCAGAGCACGAGAAGUACUGCACUGUGCAAUAAAAUCAGAGUUUUUUGUCAGGUGUGGAAUCCCCUCCUAAGUUCCCCAAUCUUCUCGCCCCUGCUUGCAUCCUUCCCUGUAGCCACGUUGGUCCCUGCACUGCCUUCUAAACAUGGCCCGCGUUCUGUAUCGGAGCCUCCUUCAUUCAGGGACCUUCUUGGAGUCUUCUCGCAUCUCAUCACCGGUUUUAUCUAUUGGGGAAAUGCCUCCUGGUUUCUGGGACUAGGUCACUGCCAGUUGUAUCAGGGAGUGUCAGCCAGGCAUCUUUUACACUAGACCUUAUGGGCAGACUCAAGCCAUAAACAAAGCGGAGUAUCCAGAUCCAGGCAAGAAUAAUUUUUGCCAUGUUCUAUGUACCAUUGAAGAAGAUGCUUGGCUUGGGGAAGAGAAGACUCUAUGAGAGACCAUAGGAUGCCUUCCAAAAUCUGAACAUGACCACAGGUUCUGGGAAUUAAAACAUGACAUCCUUUGGGGAGUGGGGGGGGGGGCUUUAUUCCACCUGCCUCAGACACAGAAGCAAGACUGUGUAUGGUGUGUUUGACUGCAAAGAAAACAAGUUAAAAGAUGGAAAAAGAGAUAAAGUAAGGUGGGAAGGGAAGAUGGUAUUGAUCCAAACAUAUUUUCUUAGAGCCAGUUUUAUGAGUUUUUUGAGGCCUCUGUCCUUCUAGACUAAACACAAAAGGCUUAGUGAUUUAGAAACUUUUUCUUUGUAUCCUUACUAAUUAAGAAAUGUAUAUCAAGUUUUGGAGUUCCUGCUAGGGCUUGCUCAGCAGGUUAAGGACCUGAUGUUUCUGUGAGGAUGUGCGUCCCAUCCCUGGUCUUGCUCAUUGGGUUAAGGAUCCAGUGUUGCCAAAAGCUUCAGGGUACACUGCGGAUGUGCUUGGAUCUGAUGUUGCCGAGAUGGUGGCAUAGGCUGCAGCUGCAGCUCUGACUCAAUCCCUGGUGUGGGAACCUGCAUAUGCCAACCAUAACAGGUGCAUUGGUAAAAAGAAAAAAAAAAAAAGAAUGUAUACCAAGUUUUAAUUUUUAGUGUUUGUAUGGCAAAACAAUACUCUUAAAAAUAUAAAAUCAUACC